AAAUUGAAGAGUUUGAUCAUGGCUCAGAUUGAACGCUGGCGGCAGGCCUAACACAUGCAAGUCGAGCGGUAGCACAGAGAGCUUGCUCUCGGGUGACGAGCGGCGGACGGGUGAGUAAUGUCUGGGAAACUGCCUGAUGGAGGGGGAUAACUACUGGAAACGGUAGCUAAUACCGCAUAACGUCGCAAGACCAAAGUGGGGGACCUUCGGGCCUCAUGCCAUCAGAUGUGCCCAGAUGGGAUUAGCUAGUAGGUGGGGUAACGGCUCACCUAGGCGACGAUCCCUAGCUGGUCUGAGAGGAUGACCAGCCACACUGGAACUGAGACACGGUCCAGACUCCUACGGGAGGCAGCAGUGGGGAAUAUUGCACAAUGGGCGCAAGCCUGAUGCAGCCAUGCCGCGUGUGUGAAGAAGGCCUUCGGGUUGUAAAGCACUUUCAGCGGGGAGGAAGGCGGUGAGGUUAAUAACCUCAUCGAUUGACGUUACCCGCAGAAGAAGCACCGGCUAACUCCGUGCCAGCAGCCGCGGUAAUACGGAGGGUGCAAGCGUUAAUCGGAAUUACUGGGCGUAAAGCGCACGCAGGCGGUCUGUCAAGUCGGAUGUGAAAUCCCCGGGCUUAACCUGGGAACUGCAUUCGAAACUGGCAGGCUAGAGUCUUGUAGAGGGGGGUAGAAUUCCAGGUGUAGCGGUGAAAUGCGUAGAGAUCUGGAGGAAUACCGGUGGCGAAGGCGGCCCCCUGGACAAAGACUGACGCUCAGGUGCGAAAGCGUGGGGAGCAAACAGGAUUAGAUACCCUGGUAGUCCACGCCGUAAACGAUGUCGAUUUGGAGGUUGUGCCCUUGAGGCGUGGCUUCCGGAGCUAACGCGUUAAAUCGACCGCCUGGGGAGUACGGCCGCAAGGUUAAAACUCAAAUGAAUUGACGGGGGCCCGCACAAGCGGUGGAGCAUGUGGUUUAAUUCGAUGCAACGCGAAGAACCUUACCUGGUCUUGACAUCCACAGAACUUUCCAGAGAUGGAUUGGUGCCUUCGGGAACUGUGAGACAGGUGCUGCAUGGCUGUCGUCAGCUCGUGUUGUGAAAUGUUGGGUUAAGUCCCGCAACGAGCGCAACCCUUAUACUUUGUUGCCAGCGGUCCGGCCGGGAACUCAAAGGAGACUGCCAGUGAUAAACUGGAGGAAGGUGGGGAUGACGUCAAGUCAUCAUGGCCCUUACGACCAGGGCUACACACGUGCUACAAUGGCAUAUACAAAGAGAAGCGACCUCGCGAGAGCAAGCGGACCUCAUAAAGUAUGUCGUAGUCCGGAUUGGAGUCUGCAACUCGACUCCAUGAAGUCGGAAUCGCUAGUAAUCGUAGAUCAGAAUGCUACGGUGAAUACGUUCCCGGGCCUUGUACACACCGCCCGUCACACCAUGGGAGUGGGUUGCAAAAGAAGUAGGUAGCUUAACCUUCGGGAGGGCGCUUACCACUUUGUGAUUCAUGACUGGGGUGAAGUCGUAACAAGGUAACCGUAGGGGAACCUGCGGUUGGAUCACCUCCUUA
Molecule: ribosomal RNA, 1540 nt
Filed under: Klebsiella pneumoniae
Lineage: Bacteria; Pseudomonadati; Pseudomonadota; Gammaproteobacteria; Enterobacterales; Enterobacteriaceae
Description: bacterial SSU rRNA
Rfam family: Bacterial small subunit ribosomal RNA
Source: RNAcentral